GUGAAGGUAGUCGGUAAAGUCUACAGCUUCAGGUGCUAUGACUGGGAGUAUCCUGAAAAGUCUCAUAACAAGAAACAUCUCAAAGGUACAUUACAUAACUAAAGAUUGGACUUAUUUAGAGUAGCAAGUUUAUAGAUAACGCAUUCUUAACUAUUUAUCAGUUAUACUUUAGUUUACGUUAAAAUUAUUUUUAAAAUAAACACAAUUUUACCAUAGUUUUAAUCCUCAAUCUUUCGAUAAAAAACAAUACAAUUCUGUUUUGUUUUAAAAAUAUAUCCAUAAAUUAUUCAAACUUAAUUUCUAUACAAAAUACAAAAGAUAUAAAAAAAGUUUAAUAAUCAAUAUGUGAAAUAUAUAUUAUCUACUUGUCAUUAGAAUUUAAUAAUCCUAUCUCACAUUAAUAUUCUUUUUGACAAUGAUUGUUUAAUAUAUUGCUAUUUUAAUAAUAUUCCAAUAUAAUAUGUGACUUCAUAUUUUACUUUGUCCUAAACUUUUUUUUAUUUUGGGGCAGGUGCUGUUGUUGAGGUCACUUGCAAAGCUGGAAGCAAAAUCAUCAAGGCUUAUGGAAAAACUAAGAUCAAUGGAAAGUACAGCAUCACAGUUGAGGACUUUGAUUAUAUCAAAUAUGGUGCCACAGUGUGUAAGGCCGCCCUUUAUGCUCCACCUAAAGGAUCCCCCUUCAACAUCCCUACUAAGCUAAAUGAAGGAACUAAAUUGUACUUGAAAUCAAAGGACAAGUAUGAGGUUGUGCUUAAGGCUAAGCCAUUUGCUUAUGCUUCAAAGAAACAUUUUAAAGAAUGUGACAAGCCCAAGCCUUCACCAACUCCAUACUACUACAAAUCACCUCCACCUCCCUCACCUGUUUACAAGUACAACUCUCCACCUCCACCAGUCCAUUAUUAUUCACCACCAUAUUACUACAAAUCACCUCCUCCUCCAGUAAAAUCGCCACCAACACCUUACUACUACAAAUCACCUCCACCUCCCUCACCAGUUUACAAGUACAACUCACCACCUCCACCGGUCCAUUAUUACUCUCCUCCAUAUUCCUAUAAGUCGCCUCCACCUCCCUCACCAGUUUACAAAUACAACUCCCCACCUCCACCAGUCCACCAUUAUGAUCCUCCAUAUUACUACAAGUCACCUCCACCUCCCUCACCAGUUUACAAGUACAACUCCCCACCUCCACCAGUCCAUUAUUAUUCACCUCCAUAUUACUACAAAUCCCCACCUCCUCCUGUGAAAUCCCCACCACCCCCUUACUACUAUAAAUCACCUCCACCUCCCUCACCAGUUUACAAAUACAACUCACCACCUCCACCGGUUUACAAGUACAACUCACCACCUCCACCAGUCCACCAUUAUGAUCCUCCAUAUAACUACAAGUCACCUCCACCUCCUUCACCUGUUUACAAGUACAACUCCCCACCUCCACCAGUCCAUUAUUAUUCACCUCCAUAUUACUACAAAUCACNNNNNNNNNNNNNNNNNNNNNNNNNNNNNNNNNNNNNNNNNNNNNNNNNNNNNNNNNNNNNNNNNNNNNNNNNNNNNNNNNNNNNNNNNNNNNNNNNNNNNNNNNNNNNNCUCCACCAUCACCAUCCCCACCCCCACCAUACUAUUACAAAUCUCCUCCACCACCAUCACCAUCCCCACCACCUCCCUACUAUUACAAAUCACCUCCACCACCCUCACCAUCACCACCACCUCCUUACUAUUACAAAUCUCCCCCACCUCCAUCUCCAUCACCACCACCUCCUUAUCACUAUCAAAGUCCUCCUCCACCAUCUCCCAUUUCUCAUCCUCCCUACUACUACAAAUCCCCUCCACCACCAUCGCCGUCUCCUCCACCUCCUUACCACUAUGUGAGUCCUCCACCACCAGUAAAGUCACCUCCACCACCAAGUUAUAUCUAUGCUUCACCACCACCACCUAUCUACAACUAACCUCAAACAGCAUAAACACCGUUCUUCAUGAUAAAUCAUGUAAGUUUGUCAUUAUCAUCUUUACUUUUACGAAUGUGCAUGUGUGUUACAUAAUACUAACCAAAAUUCUUAUUUUUAUUUGUUUUCAGAUUCCAGUUUUCAUCCAGUAAUAAAAGCAAGCUCCAUUUGGAGCAAACUGAAAUUUCUAGCUACGUGUCCAAAUUCGUUAAAUAAAUGUCAGGAUGUAUUAUCUUUGAGUUACAAUAUUUGUGAUCCUGACAAUAUUUAUUAUAUUUCUUUGGUGGCAAUCUUGCACUUCCUGGUGUUACUCUAUUCAAGUGAUAGACAAAACAAAAGGGAGAAGCGAGAUUAGUUUAUUUGUGAUAUCUUUGAUUUAUUUGUGCAUAGAUCAAUAUGGAUGUGUAUGAUAGUUUUUUAUUUAUUGAAGAUUUUUUAUUGUAAUCUGCUAUUGUGUUUGCCAAAUGGUUUUAGUAAUAAAGAAUCACAUUCAAUUUCUGUCAUAUUAUUAGUAUUUGUUGUUUAUUUCUAAGAGCUACCAUUCAUGCGAAUGUGCCUAUUUAAAAUGGCUCUAAUGAUACCUAAAAAGCUUCCAAACAAUAUAUAAGCAAAGAUGUAUUGUUUACUCUUCAAUUCAACCAAUGAAGUAAGAACCAUCCUUAUUCCAUUCUACUCUUCUAUAUGAAUUGUUCGUUCAUAUAAGUAUCAGUUCAUUACCACCAGAAACUUAAAAAUCCCUAAUUGAAAGAGAUCCUAAAGUUUUAAGGAUUCUACACACAUUUUCAAGAAAGGGUUCAAAAUAUAACCUUGUCAAGCUUUGUAGAAGUAUGAUACAAUUAUUCCCAAGUAUUAUUUAUUCUAAGGAAUAGAAUUUAUUCAUGUUUUCUCUCAAUUUUGAAUUGUAAUAUUAGAGGGUGGGAAUCUUUUAUUACCAUGAGAAUAAAAAUACUAACAAUAACUCCCCACUUUCUUAUAUUUUAAAUAAAUAAAUUGUAUUUGUCAUAAAUAAAUAAAUUGUAAAACAUUUCCUGAAAUUGUAAAGUACAUACCUAACACAUUUGACAAUAUCUGCCCUCACUGCAUGCCUUGACUGCCAAGAAACAGUUAUGCACAUACUACAGGAUUGUGAGGAAGUGAGUAACUUCAGGACCGAUUUGAUUCACCAAGAUCAUUGGAGCAAAUUUUUCAGCUCAAGACUGCAACAAUGGCUGGAAUAAAACCUUUCAACUUUAUAUUAUUGGUAACAACCAAGGAAAUAAGCAUUCUCUUUUUGGAGCUACCUAUUUCAGCUUGUAGCCAAGUUUAUUUACAAUGUAUAGCUCUUAUACUCUUAAUCUAGCUCACAGUGCUGUCAGCAACAGUGGCCAUAUUGUUGAGGUAGAUUGGAAUCAUCCUCUCCAAGGUUGCUUCAAAGUGAAUAUUAAUGGAUACCUCCACUUGUGGGGUCUAAAUACAGACUCUGUUGGCAGAUAUGUUAGAAGGUUCUAUAGCAAAUUAGGCUCUUGCACAACUUUAUAAGCUGAACUUUGCGAUUUGAGACAAAUGCAUCGAAUUGGCAAAUCUUUUGAACAUCAUCAAUGUUGGUGAUUUUUUGAGGUAGACUCAGCUGUGAUUUUAUUUUUUUAUAGAUGAAUGCUAGUAAUUAGUGAUUAUGUUAGUUUUCAUAAUCGAACCAAAGACCUCCAUCGAUGCCCUUACUUACGUGGGAUUCGAUUGUGAUUGUUAACAUGGUAAAGUUUGGCUCUAACAAUAAUGGUUUUAUCCAAACUUGAGGUCUUUUAUCUUUUCCAACAAUAUGAUUGUAGCAUACUAGCUGUUGCACAAAUUUACUAGCUAUAAUUAAAAUCACUCAUCCUCAACUUUUGAUUGGGUUCUAGUUGAUUCUAUUUUCCCUUCUUUGAGUACUUUAUUGCAGAUGAUGAGGUUGUAGCCAACCUCUUUUGAUUUCUUAAUAGAAUCACUUUUGUAUUAAAAAUUGAAAAGACCCCACAUAAGAAUAAUGGUUGGAUUAAGAUAACUUCAGUCUGAAAAAUUGCAAAACCCUCCCUAUAUCACCAAAACCUGAGAAUUUCAGGACCAUAGAGGUUGGUGGAGUGGUCAUCCAGAUAACUUUAACAUAAUUAACAGCCCAAAAAGGAAAAACCUUUAUCCUAUAUUUUCAAUGUGAUGUGAUUUACUCUUAUCUGCCCAACAUUAUAAGAAUCCAAAGGAAAACACCUAAUCCCUCUCUUUUUCCUAGCUUUUUCACACAACCACUGUGGUUACCACAUUUUCUUAUGGAAUCAAUAUCCAACUUAUGUUCAAAACUAUUUCUACAUUUAUGUUAAAAAUUAUCAGAUGAAGAUAUAUUUCUCUUAAAUUCAACAAAGAUCAUGAAUUUGAUGCUCUAUUUACAUAAUUCAAACGUUCUAGUAAAUGGCAUUGACCAAUUUAAGUAUUAUUAGUAGCUUCACAUGGGGCAUAUGCAACUAAAGUCACUGCCAGCUUAGCACCAAGAAUGAGUAAAUAAAUUGACCUGCUGGAAAAGACCAAAACGUUGCUACACAUAUCUUCAAACAAAGCACAAAAAUAUCAAACAAUGGUGCUACAUUUAAUAACACUACGUUUGUCUCUAAAUAUAAGCAUACUUCAUAUCACUACAUAGAUUUAUUGUUUUUUUAAAUAUAUUUCUUAUCAAUACUACUAAUUUGUC
Molecule: long non-coding RNA, 4632 nt
Filed under: Trifolium pratense (red clover)
Lineage: Eukaryota; Viridiplantae; Streptophyta; Magnoliopsida; Fabales; Fabaceae
Description: long non-coding RNA (TPRA_LNC003870)
Source: RNAcentral